This 440-nucleotide ribosomal RNA is filed under the name uncultured bacterium. RNAcentral's name for it is "bacterial SSU rRNA". It matches the Rfam family "Bacterial small subunit ribosomal RNA", at positions 30 to 504 of the family's 1533-position model. The record is from RNAcentral.
UGAACGCUGGCGGUAUGGCUAAAACAUGCAAGUCGAGCGCGAACGUCCUUCGGGACUAUUAGAGCGGCGCAAGGGCGAGGAAUCCAUUUCUACGUACCCCAAGGUCGAGGAUAGCUCAGGGAAACUUGAGGUAAUACUCGAUGUGGUGCUUCGGCAUCAAAGGCUUGCUGCCUUGGGAGCGGGGAAUGACCUAUCAGGUUGUUGGUGAGGUAACGGCUCACCAAGCCUUAGACGGGUAGCGGGUGUGAGAGCACGACCCGCCGCAUCGGGACUGAGACACUGCCCGGACUCCUACGGGAGGCUGCAGUAACGAAUCUUCCGCAAUGCACGAAAGUGUGACGGGGCAAUACCGCGUGUGGGAUGAAGCCCUUCGGGGUGUAAACCACUGUCAGGGUUCAGGAAAAAAAUGACCAGACCCAAAGGAAGGGCCGGCUAACUCU